GAAAUGCGAUAAGUAAUGUGAAUUGCAGAAUUCAGUGAAUCAUCGAAUCUUUGAACGCACAUUGCGCCCGCCAGCACUCUGGCGGGCAUGCCUGUUCGAGCGUCAUUUCAACCCUCAGAACCCCUUGCGGGAUCUGGCGUUGGGGAUUGGCAUCCAGCCAGCCCCGAAUUCUAGUGGCGGUCCCUCCGCGACCUCCCCUGUGCAGUAGCGAUACCUCGCAGCGGGACAGCGGUCUGACCACGCCGUAAAACCCCCAACUUCUCAAGGUUGACCUCGAAUCAGGUAGGAAUACCCGCUGAACUUAAGC
This 307-nucleotide unclassified non-coding RNA is filed under the name plant metagenome. Its description in RNAcentral is "partial contains 5.8S ribosomal RNA, internal transcribed spacer 2, and large subunit ribosomal RNA". The stretch from base 1 to 105 matches the Rfam family "5.8S ribosomal RNA", at positions 50 to 154 of the family's 154-position model. The record is from RNAcentral.